This 441-nucleotide ribosomal RNA is filed under the name uncultured bacterium. Its description in RNAcentral is "partial 16S ribosomal RNA". It matches the Rfam family "Bacterial small subunit ribosomal RNA", at positions 355 to 787 of the family's 1533-position model. The record is from RNAcentral.
UAGGGAAUCUUCCACAAUGGACGCAAGUCUGAUGGAGCAACGCCGCGUGAGUGAAGAAGGUUUUUCGGACCGUAAAGCUCUGUUGUUGGUGAAGAAGGAUAGAGGUAGUAACUGGCCUUUAUUUGACGGUAAUCAACCAGAAAGUCACGGCUAACUACGUGCCAGCAGCCGCGGUAAUCUAGGUGGCAAGCGUUGUCCGGAUUUAUUGGGCGUAAAGCGAGCGCAGGCGGAAGAAUAAGUCUGAUGUGAAAGCCCUCGGCUUAACCGAGGAAUUGCAUCGGAAACUGUUUUUCUUGAGUGCAGAAAGAGGAGAGUAGAACUCCAUGUGUAGCGGUGGAAUGCGUAGAUAUAUGGAAGAAUACCAGUGGCGAAGGCGGCUCUCUGGUCUGCAACUGACGCUGAGGCUCGAAAAGCAUGGGUAGCGAACAGGAUUAGAUACCU